AGCGGCGGACGGGUGAGUAAUGCCUAGGAAUCUGCCUGGUAGUGGGGGACAACGUUUCGAAAGGAACGCUAAUACCGCAUACGUCCUACGGGAGAAAGCAGGGGACCUUCGGGCCUUGCGCUAUCAGAUGAGCCUAGGUCGGAUUAGCUAGUUGGUGAGGUAAUGGCUCACCAAGGCGACGAUCCGUAACUGGUCUGAGAGGAUGAUCAGUCACACUGGAACUGAGACACGGUCCAGACUCCUACGGGAGGCAGCAGUGGGGAAUAUUGGACAAUGGGCGAAAGCCUGAUCCAGCCAUGCCGCGUGUGUGAAGAAGGUCUUCGGAUUGUAAAGCACUUUAAGUUGGGAGGAAGGGCAUUAACCUAAUACGUUAGUGUUUUGACGUUACCGACAGAAUAAGCACCGGCUAACUCUGUGCCAGCAGCCGCGGUAAUACAGAGGGUGCAAGCGUUAAUCGGAAUUACUGGGCGUAAAGCGCGCGUAGGUGGUUUGUUAAGUUGGAUGUGAAAGCCCCGGGCUCAACCUGGGAACUGCAUUCAAAACUGACAAGCUAGAGUAUGGUAGAGGGUGGUGGAAUUUCCUGUGUAGCGGUGAAAUGCGUAGAUAUAGGAAGGAACACCAGUGGCGAAGGCGACCACCUGGACUGAUACUGACACUGAGGUGCGAAAGCGUGGGGAGCAAACAGGAUUAGAUACCCUGGUAGUCCACGCCGUAAACGAUGUCAACUAGCCGUUGGGAGCCUUGAGCUCUUAGUGGCGCAGCUAACGCAUUAAGUUGACCGCCUGGGGAGUACGGCCGCAAGGUUAAAACUCAAAUGAAUUGACGGGGGCCCGCACAAGCGGUG
This 844-nucleotide ribosomal RNA is filed under the name Pseudomonas sp. RNAcentral's name for it is "bacterial SSU rRNA". It matches the Rfam family "Bacterial small subunit ribosomal RNA", at positions 94 to 934 of the family's 1533-position model. The record is from RNAcentral. Lineage: Bacteria; Pseudomonadati; Pseudomonadota; Gammaproteobacteria; Pseudomonadales; Pseudomonadaceae.